UUGCACGCUGGCGGCAGGCCUAACCCCUGCAAGUCGCACGGUAACAGGAAGCAGCUUGCUGCUUCGCUGACGAGUGGCGGACGGGUGAGUAAUGUCUGGGAAGCUGCCUGAUGGAGGGGGAUAACUACUGGAAACGGUAGCUAAUACCGCAUAAUGUCGCAAGACCAAAGAGGGGGACCUUCGGGCCUCUUGCCAUCGGAUGUGCCCAGAUGGGAUUAGCUUGUUGGUGGGGUAACGGCUCACCAAGGCGACGAUCCCUAGCUGGUCUGAGAGGAUGACCAGCCACACUGGGACUGAGACACGGUCCAGACUCCUACGGGAGGCAGCAGUGGGGAAUAUUGCACAAUGGGCGCAGGCCUGAUGCAGCCAUGCCGCGUGUAUGAAGAAGGCCUUCGGGUUGUAAAGUACUUUCAGCGGGGAGGAAGGGAGUAAAGUUAAUACCUUUGCUCAUUGACGUUACCCGCAGAAGAAGCACCGGCUAACUCCGUG
This 489-nucleotide ribosomal RNA is filed under the name uncultured bacterium. Its description in RNAcentral is "partial 16S ribosomal RNA". It matches the Rfam family "Bacterial small subunit ribosomal RNA", at positions 30 to 507 of the family's 1533-position model. The record is from RNAcentral.